Molecule: non-coding RNA, 30 nt
Filed under: Rattus norvegicus (Norway rat)
Lineage: Eukaryota; Metazoa; Chordata; Mammalia; Rodentia; Muridae
Source: RNAcentral
UCCAUUUCCUGGUUUGUGUUCUUUUCCUCA